RNAcentral lists this transfer RNA (77 nucleotides) under Rickettsiales bacterium. RNAcentral's name for it is "tRNA-Pro". It matches the Rfam family "tRNA". Rfam says of the family: Transfer RNA (tRNA) molecules are approximately 80 nucleotides in length. Their secondary structure includes four short double-helical elements and three loops (D, anti-codon, and T loops). Further hydrogen bonds mediate the characteristic L-shaped molecular structure. tRNAs have two regions of fundamental functional importance: the anti-codon, which is responsible for specific mRNA codon recognition, and the 3' end, to which the tRNAs corresponding amino acid is attached (by aminoacyl-tRNA synthetases). tRNAs cope with the degeneracy of the genetic code in two manners: having more than one tRNA (with a specific anti-codon) for a particular amino acid; and 'wobble' base-pairing, i.e. permitting non-standard base-pairing at the 3rd anti-codon position. Lineage: Bacteria; Pseudomonadati; Pseudomonadota; Alphaproteobacteria; Rickettsiales. The record is from RNAcentral.
CGGGGCAUAGCUCAGCCUGGUAGAGUGCUUGCAUGGGGUGCAAGAGGUCGCACGUUCGAACCGUGUUGCCCCGACCA